Molecule: ribosomal RNA, 694 nt
Filed under: uncultured bacterium
Lineage: Bacteria
Description: bacterial SSU rRNA
Rfam family: Bacterial small subunit ribosomal RNA
Source: RNAcentral
AACGCUAGCUACAGGCUUAACACAUGCAAGUCGAGGGGCAGCAUGAACAAAGCUUGCUUUGUUUGAUGGCAACCGGCGCACGGGUGCGUAACACGUAUCCAAUCUGCCCGCGGCUCGGGGAUAGCCCAUCGAAAGAUGGAUUAAUACCCGAUGGUGUGGUUUCUCCGCAUGGAGUUUCCACUAAAGGUUUUCCGGCCGCGGAUGGAGGAUGCGUAUGAUUAGGUAGUAGGCGGGGUAACCGCCCACCUACCUUCGAUCAUUAGGGGUUCUGAGAGGAAGGUCCCCCACACUGGAACUGAGACACGGUCCAGACUCCUACGGGAGGCAGCAGUGAGGAAUAUUGGUCAAUGGGCGAGAGCCUGAACCAGCCCAAGUAGCGUGAAAGGAAGACUGCCCUAUGGGUUGUAAACUUCUUUUGUUCGGGAAUAAAGUGCAGUAUGUAUACUGUUUUGUAUGUACCGUUCGAAUAAGCAUCGGCUAAUUCCGUGCCAGCAGCCGCGGUAAUACGGAAGAUGCGAGCGUUAUCCGGAUUUAUUGGGUUUAAAGGGAGCGUAGGCGGGCUGUUAAGUCAGCGGUUAAAUGUCAUGGCCCAACCUUGGCAUGCCGUUGAAACUGGCGGUCUUGAAUACACACAAGGGAGAUGGAAUUCGUCGUGUAGCGGGAAAUGCUUAGAUAUCACGAAGAACUCCGAUUG